This is a long non-coding RNA of Humulus lupulus (European hop), 532 nucleotides long. RefSeq lists it as uncharacterized. NCBI's taxonomy places the organism in Eukaryota, Viridiplantae, Streptophyta, Magnoliopsida, Rosales, Cannabaceae. The transcript has 2 exons. The record is from RefSeq and is a predicted model, not a curated record.
GUAGGUCACAUCAUUGUGCCCCAUCUUUGUUUUUUUCUUGAAUUGAACCUCAGUUUCUCAUGCCAGUGCGUCAACUAAAUGUCUAAACAUAAAAGAUAAUAAGCUAUAUUUAUUUUCAUUCAUAUGAUAUUUAUACACUCCAAUUUUGCUAUGAUUAUUUCUCACAUGUUAGAUGUAACUUUCUAGUUCCUAAGGAGUAACGACUGUGUACUCUUUCUGAUCCUAUCUUUCUUUAUUUACAGGAUCACUCUCUUGAUUUCCAUGCUUUAUGUGCUCUAUAUGCUGUCACAGAUGUGACAAGCGAAAUAGAAAAUGGUACUUAAUUUUGAAGGCUUUGUGUUGGGCAGCUGUAGAAUAUUUUAUGCUGAAAGUAGUAGAAUAUGUUGAAUAUUUAAGACUACUUGAAUACUUAAAGAACAUUUUGUCGUUGAUGACAGUGUUUAAUGUUUUAAACUAAUUUGUGGAUUGUUAAAACAAUGUUGAAUGUUUUAAACUAAUUUGUGGAUUGUUAAUACAAUGUUGAAUGUUUUUA